GAUGAACGCUGGCGGCGUGCCUAAUACAUGCCAGUCGAGCGAACAGAUGAGGAGCUUGCUCCUCUGACGUUAGUGGCGGACGGGUGAGUAACACGUGGAUAACCUACCUAUAAGACUGGGAUAACUUCGGGAAACCGGAGCUAAUACCGGAUAAUAUAUUGAACCGCAUGGUUCAAUAGUGAAAGACGGUUUUGCUGUCACUUAUAGAUGGAUCCGCGCCGCAUUAGCUAGUUGGUAAGGUAACGGCUUACCAAGGCAACGAUGCGUAGCCGACCUGAGAGGGUGAUCGGCCACACUGGAACUGAGACACGGUCCAGACUCCUACGGGAGGCAGCAGUAGGGAAUCUUCCGCAAUGGGCGAAAGCCUGACGGAGCAACGCCGCGUGAGUGAUGAAGGUCUUCGGAUCGUAAAACUCUGUUAUUAGGGAAGAACAAAUGUGUAAGUAACUAUGCACGUCUUGACGGUACCUAAUCAGAAAGCCACGGCUAACUACGUG
Molecule: ribosomal RNA, 497 nt
Filed under: uncultured bacterium
Lineage: Bacteria
Description: partial 16S ribosomal RNA
Rfam family: Bacterial small subunit ribosomal RNA
Source: RNAcentral